RNAcentral lists this ribosomal RNA (359 nucleotides) under uncultured bacterium. RNAcentral's name for it is "bacterial SSU rRNA". It matches the Rfam family "Bacterial small subunit ribosomal RNA", at positions 32 to 383 of the family's 1533-position model. The record is from RNAcentral.
AAUCAACGCUGGCGGCGUGCCUCAGACAUGCAAGUCGAACGAUUAAAGCUCCCUUCGGGGAGUGCAUAAAGUGGCGCACGGGUGAGUAACACGUAAGUAAUCUACCCUCGGGUGGGGAAUAACAUCGGGAAACCGAUGCUAAUACCGCAUAAUGCAGCGGCACCGCAAGGUGACAGUUGUUAAAGAUUUAUUGCCUGGGGAGGAGCUUGCGGCAGAUUAGCNGUUGGUAAGGUAACGGCUUACCAAGGCUACGAUCUGUAUCCGGUCUAAGAGGACGGUCGGACGACACUGACACUGAAUAACGGGUCAGACUCCUACGGGAGGCAGCAGUCGGGAAUUUUGGGCAAUGGGGGAAACCC